CGCGUAGGUGGUAGUGCAAGUCUGGGGUGGAAUCCUAUGGCUUAACCAUAGAAUUGCCUUGGAAACUGUAUUACUUGAGUCAGUGAGGGGAGGGUAGAAUUCCUGGUGUAGCGGUGAAAUGCGUAGAUAUCAGGAGGAGGGCCUGUGGCGAAGGCGGCCCUCUGGCGCUGAACUGACACUGAGGCGCGAAAGCGUGGGGAGCAAACAGGAUUAGAUACCCUGGUAGUCCACGCCCUAAACGGUGGGCACUAGGUGUAGGGCUCGUAAGGGUUCUGUGCCGAAGCGAAAGCAUUAAGUGCCCCGCCUGGGGAGUACGGCCGCAAGGUUGAA
This 330-nucleotide ribosomal RNA is filed under the name uncultured bacterium. Its description in RNAcentral is "bacterial SSU rRNA". It matches the Rfam family "Bacterial small subunit ribosomal RNA", at positions 568 to 898 of the family's 1533-position model. The record is from RNAcentral.